AGUCACUGACAUUAGAUACCCGGGUAGUCCAGGGUGUAAACGCUGCAGACUUGGUGUUGGAAGUCCUUUGGGGGCAUUCAGUGCCGGAGAGAAGUUGUUAAGUCUGCUACUUGGGGAGUACGUCCGCAAGGAUGAAACUUAAAGGAAUUGGCGGGGGAGCACCGCAACGGGAGGAGCGUGCGGUUUAAUUGGAUUCAACACCGUAAACUCACCAGGGAAGACUGUUACAUGAAAGCCGAGAUGAAGACUCUGCUAGAUUUUUCAG
This 265-nucleotide ribosomal RNA is filed under the name uncultured archaeon. RNAcentral's name for it is "partial 16S ribosomal RNA". It matches the Rfam family "Archaeal small subunit ribosomal RNA", at positions 719 to 982 of the family's 1478-position model. The record is from RNAcentral.